This 549-nucleotide ribosomal RNA is filed under the name uncultured Glomeromycotina. Its description in RNAcentral is "SSU rRNA". It matches the Rfam family "Eukaryotic small subunit ribosomal RNA", at positions 548 to 1098 of the family's 1831-position model. The record is from RNAcentral. Lineage: Eukaryota; Fungi; Glomeromycota.
UUGGAGGGCAAGUCUGGUGCCAGCAGCCGCGGUAAUUCCAGCUCCAAUAGCGUAUAUUAAAGUUGUUGCAGUUAAAAAGCUCGUAGUUGAAUUUCGGGGUCAGUAGGUUGGUCGUGCCACUGGUAUGCACUGGCCUCACUGAUUCCUCCUUCUUGAAGAACUGUGAUGUCAUUUACUUGGUGUUGCAGGGAAACAGGACUGUUACUUUGAAAAAAUUAGAGUGUUUAAAGCAGGCUAACGCUUGAAUACAUUAGCAUGGAAUAAUGAAAUAGGACGUUUGAUCCUAUUUUGUUGGUUUCUAGGAUUGACGUAAUGAUUAAUAGGGAUAGUUGGGGGCAUUAGUAUUCAAUUGUCAGAGGUGAAAUUCUUGGAUUUAUUGAAGACUAACUACUGCGAAAGCAUUUGCCAAGGAUGUUUUCAUUAAUCAAGAACGAAAGUUAGGGGAUCGAAGACGAUCAGAUACCGUCGUAGUCUUAACCAUAAACUAUGCCGACUAGGGAUCGGAUGAUGUUAAUUUUCUAAUGACUCAUUCGGCGCCUUACGGGAAAC